Molecule: transfer RNA, 73 nt
Filed under: Anaerolineae bacterium
Lineage: Bacteria; Bacillati; Chloroflexota; Anaerolineae
Description: tRNA-Ser
Rfam family: tRNA
About the family: Transfer RNA (tRNA) molecules are approximately 80 nucleotides in length.
Source: RNAcentral
GCCAGAGUGGCUGAUUGGGCCCGCCUGCUAAGUGGGUGUCGGGGUUCCCUCGACCGCGGGUUCGAAUCCCGCC